UGGGGAAUAUUGCACAAUGGGCGGAAGCCUGAUGCAGCGACGCCGCGUGGGGGAUGAAGGCCUUCGGGUUGUAAACUCCUUUCGACAGGGACGAAGCUUUUGUGACGGUACAUGUAUAAGAAGCACCGGCUAACUACGUGCCAGCAGCCGCGGUAAUACGUAGGGUGCGAGCGUUGUCCGGAAUUACUGGGCGUAAAGAGCUCGUAGGUGGUUUGUCGCGUCGUCUGUGAAAUUCCGGGGCUUAACUCCGGGCGUGCAGGCGAUACGGGCUGACUUGAGUGCUGUAGGGGAGACUGGAAUUCCUGGUGUAGCAGUGAAAUGCGCAGAUAUCAGGAGGAACACCGAUGGCGAAGGCAGGUCUCUGGGCAGUAACUGACGCUGAGGAGCGAAAGCAUGGGUAGCGAACAGG
RNAcentral lists this ribosomal RNA (409 nucleotides) under Actinomycetes bacterium. Its description in RNAcentral is "Actinobacteria bacterium partial 16S ribosomal RNA". It matches the Rfam family "Bacterial small subunit ribosomal RNA", at positions 355 to 776 of the family's 1533-position model. The record is from RNAcentral. Lineage: Bacteria; Bacillati; Actinomycetota; Actinomycetes.